CCUACGGGAGGCAGCAGUCGAGAAUUAUUCACAAUGGGGGAAACCCUGAUGGUGCGACGCCGCGUGGGGGAAUGAAGGUCUUCGGAUUUUAAACCCCAGUCAUGUGGGAGCAAAUUAAAAAGAUAUAACCACAGAAGGAAGAGACGGCUAACUCUGUGCAAGCAGCCGCGUAAAUACAAAGGUCUCAAGCGUUGUUCGGAAUCACUGGGCGUAAAGCGUGCGUAGGCGGUUUCGUAAGUCGUGUGUGAAAGGCGCGGGCUCAACCCGCGGAAGGCACAUGAUACUGGGAGACUAGAGUAAUGGAGGGGGAACCGGAAUUCUCGGUGUAGCAGUGAAAUGCGUAGAUAUCGAGAGGAACACUCGUGGCGAAGGCGGGUUCCUGGACAUUAACUGACGCUGAGGCACGAAGGCCAGGGGAGCGAAAGGGAUUAGAUACCCGUGUAGUC
Molecule: ribosomal RNA, 446 nt
Filed under: uncultured bacterium
Lineage: Bacteria
Description: partial 16S ribosomal RNA
Rfam family: Bacterial small subunit ribosomal RNA
Source: RNAcentral